RNAcentral lists this ribosomal RNA (159 nucleotides) under bacterium A-23. RNAcentral's name for it is "partial 16S ribosomal RNA". It matches the Rfam family "Bacterial small subunit ribosomal RNA", at positions 356 to 507 of the family's 1533-position model. The record is from RNAcentral.
GGGGAAUAUUGCACAAUGGGCGCAAGCCUGAUGCAGCCAUGCCGCGUGUAUGAAGAAGGCCUUCGGGUUGUAAAGUACUUUCAGCGGGGAGGAAGGCGAUGGGGUUAAUAACCUUAUCGAUUGACGUUACCCGCAGAAGAAGCACCGGCUAACUCCGUG